RNAcentral lists this ribosomal RNA (253 nucleotides) under uncultured bacterium. RNAcentral describes it as "partial 16S ribosomal RNA". It matches the Rfam family "Bacterial small subunit ribosomal RNA", at positions 524 to 776 of the family's 1533-position model. The record is from RNAcentral.
UACAGGGGUCUCAAGCGUUGUCCGGAAUUAUUGGGCGUAAAGGGCUCGUAGGCGGUUUGUCGCGUCGGGCGUGAAAUCCACUGGCUUAACUGGUGGCUUGCUUUCGAUACGGGCAGACUGGAGGUAUGCAGGGGAGAACGGAAUUCCUGGUGUAGCGGUGAAAUGCGCAGAUAUCAGGAGGAACACCGGUGGCGAAGGCGGUUCUCUGGGCAUGUCCUGACGCUGAGGAGCGAAAGUGUGGGGAGCGAACAGG